RNAcentral lists this ribosomal RNA (569 nucleotides) under uncultured bacterium. RNAcentral's name for it is "bacterial SSU rRNA". It matches the Rfam family "Bacterial small subunit ribosomal RNA", at positions 338 to 916 of the family's 1533-position model. The record is from RNAcentral.
CCUACGGGAGGCAGCAGUGGGGAAUAUUGGGCAAUGGAGGAAACUCUGACCCAGCGACGCCGCGUGCGGGAUGAAGGCCUUCGGGUUGUAAACCGCUUUCAGCAGGGAAGAAGCGAAAGUGACGGUACCUGCAGAAGAAGCACCGGCUAACUAUGUGCCAGCAGCCGCGGUAAUACAUAGGGUGCAAGCGUUGUCCGGAAUUAUUGGGCGUAAAGAGCUCGUAGGUGGUUCGUCACGUCGGAUGUGAAACUCUGGGGCUUAACCCCAGACCUGCAUUCGAUACGGGCGAGCUUGAGUAUGGUAGGGGAGUCUGGAAUUCCUGGUGUAGCGGUGGAAUGCGCAGAUAUCAGGAGGAACACCAAUGGCGAAGGCAGGACUCUGGGCCAUUACUGACACUGAGGAGCGAAAGCGUGGGGAGCGAACAGGAUUAGAUACCCUGGUAGUCCACGCCGUAAACGGUGGGCACUAGUUGUGGGGACCUUCCACGGUCUCUGCGACGCAGCUAACGCAUUAAGUGCCCCGCCUGGGGAGUACGAUCGCAAGAUUAAAAACUCAAAAUGAAUUGACGG